GCCCGGUUAGCUCAGUCGGUAGAGCAUGAGACUCUUCCAUCUCAGGGUUGUGGGUUAGAACCCCACAUUGGGCA
RNAcentral lists this transfer RNA (74 nucleotides) under Amazona aestiva (blue-fronted amazon). It matches the Rfam family "tRNA". Rfam says of the family: Transfer RNA (tRNA) molecules are approximately 80 nucleotides in length. Their secondary structure includes four short double-helical elements and three loops (D, anti-codon, and T loops). Further hydrogen bonds mediate the characteristic L-shaped molecular structure. tRNAs have two regions of fundamental functional importance: the anti-codon, which is responsible for specific mRNA codon recognition, and the 3' end, to which the tRNAs corresponding amino acid is attached (by aminoacyl-tRNA synthetases). tRNAs cope with the degeneracy of the genetic code in two manners: having more than one tRNA (with a specific anti-codon) for a particular amino acid; and 'wobble' base-pairing, i.e. permitting non-standard base-pairing at the 3rd anti-codon position. The record is from Rfam by way of RNAcentral. Lineage: Eukaryota; Metazoa; Chordata; Aves; Psittaciformes; Psittacidae. RNAcentral also lists the same sequence under 2 other names.